This 253-nucleotide non-coding RNA is filed under the name Toxoplasma gondii VEG. RNAcentral describes it as "Eukaryotic large subunit ribosomal RNA". It matches the Rfam family "Eukaryotic large subunit ribosomal RNA", at positions 2412 to 2668 of the family's 3401-position model. The record is from Rfam by way of RNAcentral. Lineage: Eukaryota; Apicomplexa; Conoidasida; Eucoccidiorida; Sarcocystidae. RNAcentral also lists the same sequence under 1 other name.
CCUGUUGAGCUUGACUCUAGUCCGACUUUGUGAAAUGACUUAGGAGGUGUAGCAUAAGUGGGAGCUUCGGCGCUCGUGAAAUACCACUACUCUUAAUGUCGUUUUACUUAUUCCGUUAAGUUGAGACUCAUGCUCUGCAUGUGUUUUGGUUUUAAGGUGGCUUUUGCCGCUGAUCUACGCGGAAGACACAGUCAGGUUGGGGGUUGUAGGGUAAACGAGGACUGAGGGUGCUCGAGCGUCAGGUUUCGAAAGG